Molecule: ribosomal RNA, 783 nt
Filed under: Acidimicrobiales bacterium
Lineage: Bacteria; Bacillati; Actinomycetota; Acidimicrobiia; Acidimicrobiales
Description: partial 23S ribosomal RNA
Rfam family: Bacterial large subunit ribosomal RNA
Source: RNAcentral
CCAUCCUUUAAAGAUAGCGUAACAGCUCACCGGUCUAAUAGAGUUUCUGCGCCGAAGAUGUAACGGGGCUAAAAUCACAUACCGAAUCUGUGGGUUUAUAAAAUUUUCGAAUUUUAUACGCGGUAGCGGAACGUUCUGUAAGCCUGUAAAGGGAUACCCGCGAGGGAUCCUGGAGGUAUCAGAAGUGCGAAUGCUGACAUGAGUAACGAUUAACAGAGUGAAAAACUCUGUCGCCGAAAAUCCAAGGGUUUCUGCGCAAGGUUAAUCCGCGCAGAGUUAGUCGACCCCUAAGACGAGGGCGAAAGCCGUAGUCGAUGGAAACAAGGUUAAUAUUCCUUGACCAGAUGGUAGUGACGGAUUUUGUAAAUUGUUAACUCUUAAUGGAUUGAGUUAGCUGUGAAAAAGUCCCAGGAAAUAGCUCCAUCAUAAGACCGUACCCGAAACCGACACAGGUGGAUUAUUAGAGUAUAAUUAGGCGCUUGAGAGAAUGAUGUUGAAGGAACUCGGCAAAAUGCCUCUGUAACUUCGGAAGAAAGAGGACCCAUUUUUAGGCAACUAUAAUUGGGUGGCACAAGCCAGGGAGAUGCGACUGUUUAUCAAAAACACAGGACUCUGCUAACACGUAAGUGGAUGUAUAGGGUCUGACGCCUGCCCGGUGCUGGAAGGUUAAUGCGAUGAGUGCAAGCUCAUUUCUGAAGCCCCAGUGAACGGCGGCCGUAACUAUAACGGUCCUAAGGUAGCGAAAUUCCUUGUCGGGUAAGUUCCGACCUGCAUGAAUGGCGU